Molecule: RNase P RNA, 350 nt
Filed under: Roseburia lenta
Lineage: Bacteria; Bacillati; Bacillota; Clostridia; Lachnospirales; Lachnospiraceae
Description: RNase P RNA component class A
Rfam family: Bacterial RNase P class A
About the family: Ribonuclease P (RNase P) is a ubiquitous endoribonuclease, found in archaea, bacteria and eukarya as well as chloroplasts and mitochondria. Its best characterised activity is the generation of mature 5'-ends of tRNAs by cleaving the 5'-leader elements of precursor-tRNAs.
Source: RNAcentral
GAAGUAAGAUAAGUAAUCGCGGCUGCAAAUGCCGAAAGGCAGCAGGUGAGGAAAGUCCGGGCUUCACAGGGCAGGAUGCCGGAUAACGUCCGGUGGAGGUGACUCCAAGGAAAGUGCAACAGAAAUAUACCGCUGCGGGAUUUCCCGUCAGUAAGGGUGGAAAGGUGGUGUAAGAGACCACCGCUUUGCUGGUAACAGCAAGGGUCCCUGUAAACCCCAUCCGAAGCAAGACCGAAUGGAAACGUAUGUGGCCCGCUAGUUUCAGGUUGGUCGCUUGAGGCGAUUGGCGACAGUCGUCCUAGAUAGAUGAUUACUCCAGACAUAACCCGGCUCAUCGUCUUGCUUCUUUU